Molecule: transfer RNA, 83 nt
Filed under: Cordyceps militaris CM01
Lineage: Eukaryota; Fungi; Ascomycota; Sordariomycetes; Hypocreales; Cordycipitaceae
Description: tRNA-Und (NNN) (tRNA-Und-NNN-4-1)
Rfam family: tRNA
About the family: Transfer RNA (tRNA) molecules are approximately 80 nucleotides in length.
Source: RNAcentral
ACCUCUAUAGUGUAGUGGUUCUACACUAGGGAGUUCUGUAUAGGUUAGCAUAUAGAUCGCUGGUUCGAAUCUAGCUAGAGGCA